UAUUUUUACCCCAUCUUC
Molecule: non-coding RNA, 18 nt
Filed under: Rattus norvegicus (Norway rat)
Lineage: Eukaryota; Metazoa; Chordata; Mammalia; Rodentia; Muridae
Source: RNAcentral